CACACAUCUGAUAAAGAUUGCUCCAGUCGAUGAAAGAACUUUCCAGGCAGAUCCUUUACAGCCUCAAAGAAAUGAGCGAGAACAUGAAUUCUUUGAGAAAAAACUCAAAGGCAAGUCAUGAGAUAUCAAAAUAUAACAUCACAGAGAAGAUGAAAAUUAGGCUAGUAAACGGAAGAAAACCCCUUACAGACAAAAUAAUUUCAGAAAUGUUAUGCUAGAAGCAGCAAGAAGUGGAAAAAGACAUUGCAGAAAUGCAUCAGGAAUUUGGAGACUGGGCCUAAGAAAAUGAACCCAAGUCAAAUGGAGAAAAAGCAAGAGGUAAAGGCUGGUUAGAGAGACCCCCAGAGGUACAUAAUCAGGAACAAGAGAACGAGAAAGAGAAAGGAGACAAGGGAGGCUGCAAAGGAAAUUAUUUUGAACUAAAGGAUGGCCUGCACCUUCAGUUUCAACAUGCCAAGGUUGGAAAAAUAUUGCCCCCCCAAAUCAACACACUAAGAUGUAUUUGGUAAAGAGCGAAACUUUAAGGAUAAAGAAGAGCCUUUGGGGCGUCCAGAUGAUGGUGAGGAGGGGGAUGAUAACGACAAUAGUGCAAACAACAACAGUAAUAGUAAGGUAAAGCUUUUUUUUUCGAGGACGACAUUCAGACUCGCCUCACAGAUUCCUGUGACCACAUUAAAACCACAUUAAAACCCAGAAAACGGUGGUUUAAUAGCUAAAGGAUGUGAGAAUGUUACCUCCAAGUAAAUUGUUUUUUUACCUGGAUUUCUUGUCUCAAUGAAAUAAGCGCUCCUGAGCCAUUUUUUUUUUAAAUACAAUUGCUCUAUGAUGAAGUAAUAAAAAAUGAUAAUAAAAUUGGAAUCCGGGAACAGAGAAGGCGGUGGUAUAAAAAGAUUGGUGAUACACAUAGAAUCUAUUUAAAUCUAAACCCAGGACUAAGACAAGACAGCAGUGGGAAUUACAGUCACAGGAGUGAAUCAGAAUAUAAUCAACUUGGGUGCUUUACAUCAUUGGGAGGGGGAUAAGGGAGCAGAAAUGGAAAGAAGUAUAGGUAUUCGGAUUUCCUCGUUUGCCAUUAUCAGGAGCAAGUAGAGAUCAUCUGAAAUUGUUAAAUCAAGAAGUAAAGAAGCCUUGGAGUUCCCGUCACGUGGUGUAGGGGUUAAUGAAUCCGACUAGGAACCAUGAGGUUGCGGGUUCAAUCCAUGGCCUUGCUCAGUGGGUUAAGGAUCUGGUGUUGCCGUGAGGCUGGUGGCUACAGCUCUGAUUCGCCCCCUAGCCUGGGAACCUCCAUAUGCCGUGGGAGCGGCCCUAGAAAAGGCAAAAAGACAAAAAAAAAAA
This 1335-nucleotide long non-coding RNA is filed under the name Sus scrofa (pig). RNAcentral's name for it is "lncRNA (ENSSSCG00005019223.1)". The record is from RNAcentral. Lineage: Eukaryota; Metazoa; Chordata; Mammalia; Artiodactyla; Suidae.